Molecule: ribosomal RNA, 484 nt
Filed under: uncultured bacterium
Lineage: Bacteria
Description: partial 16S ribosomal RNA
Rfam family: Bacterial small subunit ribosomal RNA
Source: RNAcentral
AUUGAACGCUGGCGGCAGGCCUAACACAUGCCAGUCGAGCGGAUGAAGGGAGCUUGCUCCUGGAUUCAGCGGCGGACGGGUGAGUAAUGCCUAGGAAUCUGCCUGGUAGUGGGGGAUAACGUCCGGAAACGGGCGCUAAUACCGCAUACGUCCUGAGGGAGAAAGUGGGGGAUCUUCGGACCUCACGCUAUCAGAUGAGCCUAGGUCGGAUUAGCUAGUUGGUGGGGUAAAGGCCUACCAAGGCGACGAUCCGUAACUGGUCUGAGAGGAUGAUCAGUCACACUGGAACUGAGACACGGUCCAGACUCCUACGGGAGGCAGCAGUGGGGAAUAUUGGACAAUGGGCGAAAGCCUGAUCAAGCCAUGCCGCGUGUGUGAAGAAGGUCUUCGGAUUGUAAAGCACUUUAAGUUGGGAGGAAGGGCAGUAAGUUAAUACCUUGCUGUUUUGACGUUACCAACAGAAUAAGCACCGGCUAACUUCGUG